This is an RNA transcript of Trematomus bernacchii (emerald rockcod), 1148 nucleotides long. It is a transcript of the gene named bis(5'-adenosyl)-triphosphatase-like, with no coding region annotated. NCBI's taxonomy places the organism in Eukaryota, Metazoa, Chordata, Actinopteri, Perciformes, Nototheniidae. The transcript is spliced from 6 exons. The record is from RefSeq and is a predicted model, not a curated record.
CAACGUACAGUUUUUCCCGUCACAGAAGGCCGAGAGAGCAGAGAUUCCUUCCUUCAGCAGCAGCACUGUCCUCCUUACAGCUCCAGCAACACUUCUCUCCAUCCUCUCUAUAAUCACCCACCUACAAGGUCGUGGGAAGCCAGCAAGGUUGAAGGUAUUUGUGCAGGCCCUGAGUGGUUGAGAGCAGUGUCUGGAACAGGACAAGCAUGUAGAUGGUACUGCAUUUGCAAAACUUGCUUUCCAGCCCCUUUGCCAGAGGGGCUGAAAGGCUCCCUAAAGUCUUGAUCAAAGCAGGGAGGUUUUUGACAUGCCCAGCGAACAAGUUAUUUGUCCCCUACCUCUAGCUGUUUCUGAAAUGUUUGCAAUCUCUAAUGGUGGAGAAGAAAGAGUAGAGACACUCCAGGAGAUCAACGCAGGAAAGUAAUCACCAACUGUGAGUGAUCUGUUGCCGAGGGGACACUACACCGGAGUUACAUAAGCAGAGGUGGAAGUGUUAGGCUAAAUCGCCUUGGUUUGACCUUCGCAAAUCGGUCGACGACCUCCCCAUGGAGGGUGACAUGCCUGUAUGCCAAUUAAUAUUUUUUCCCCAACUCCAGAAAACCUGUUUUGAAGCUCCUCCAGCAUUCUGUCGAGAACUGGAAAGAAGAGCCUUGUGUAUGUUUGAAUUUUCAUGUUCUCGAAAAGAAUCCAAUGCACGCUUCCAGUUUGUGUAUCCUGAGGUGGUGAGGGUGUCCCUUUGAUCCCUUGAUUGCUUUGGUUUGCCAUAUAGUCUACAACUAAAGCAGAAUGCUGCAUUGGCAGUGGUAGAAUAUUCAACCCAUUUAAAAGUAUCAAACCAACUUGGUUGAAAUGAUCUCUUUUGCUGGCCAAACAUGCCGGAUGGAAAACAGUGAUGUCUCACUUGCCUUGGCCCUGUAUCUGCAGUCCCUAAAUCAGUUCCCCAGUUACCCAUUGACUCUUGUCUGUUCUGAUGUUCCUGUUCAUUGUUGUUCUUAUCUGUUGUAUCUCCUUCUUGUGUGUCCCUUUCUCCUGUUCUCCUUUCUUCAUCCUCUACUAUUUUUGGCUCAUCUGUGAUGACUGUGUAGGUAAACACAAACAAGUAUUUAAAAUCAGUUUCCAGCUCUGUCAAAUAAAUGAAUUUCAAGAUA